This 315-nucleotide unclassified non-coding RNA is filed under the name uncultured fungus. Its description in RNAcentral is "partial contains 5.8S ribosomal RNA, internal transcribed spacer 2, and large subunit ribosomal RNA". The stretch from base 1 to 52 matches the Rfam family "5.8S ribosomal RNA", at positions 103 to 154 of the family's 154-position model. The record is from RNAcentral. Lineage: Eukaryota; Fungi.
AACGCACAUUGCGCCCCUUGGUAUUCCGAGGGGCAUGCCUGUCCGAGCGUCAUUUCAAAAUCCAGCCCCAGGCUUGGUGUUGGGCUUCCAUUACCCGCGAUAGGGUAGGCCCGAAAGACCUGCGGAGGCCGCCGCCGGCCCUGACCCCAGUGAAUCUCCAGGCUGAUGGGUCCGGUGGUGAUGUCCGGCUAAAACCACGGGAGGGGGAAGUGAUGGUCCCUAGGAGAGGUGUCAAAAGCCUUUCCGGGGGAUCUCCUCCCUCGCCCGCUUCUUCUGUUUGACCUCGGAUCAGGUAGGGAUACCCCCUGAACUUAA